This 429-nucleotide ribosomal RNA is filed under the name Pseudomonadota bacterium. Its description in RNAcentral is "Proteobacteria bacterium partial 16S ribosomal RNA". It matches the Rfam family "Bacterial small subunit ribosomal RNA", at positions 355 to 776 of the family's 1533-position model. The record is from RNAcentral. Lineage: Bacteria; Pseudomonadati; Pseudomonadota.
UGGGGAAUAUUGGACAAUGGGCGAAAGCCUGAUCCAGCCAUGCCGCGUGUGUGAAGAAGGUCUUCGGAUUGUAAAGCACUUUAAGUUGGGAGGAAGGGCAGUAAGCGAAUACCUUGCUGUUUUGACGUUACCGACAGAAUAAGCACCGGCUAACUCUGUGCCAGCAGCCGCGGUAAUACAGAGGGUGCAAGCGUUAAUCGGAAUUACUGGGCGUAAAGCGCGCGUAGGUGGUUCGUUAAGUUGAAUGUGAAAGCCCCGGGCUCAACCUGGGAACUGCAUCCAAAACUGGCGAGCUAGAGUAGGGCAGAGGGUGGUGGAAUUUCCUGUGUAGCGGUGAAAUGCGUAGAUAUAGGAAGGAACACCAGUGGCGAAGGCGACCACCUGGGCUCAUACUGACACUGAGGUGCGAAAGGGUGGGGAGCAAACAGG